UUAAUUUGACAAAACAGGAGAAUCCCAGAAAUCAUCAAUUACCUUGGGUGACAUUUACAUAAAACUGAAAUGUACCCUUUUUAGCCCAAUCAAAUGGACAAAUGUAUGUUAAGUUGGACCCAGUUUAAUACGACAAAACAAAGGAAUCCACACAUGAAUAUGGGGACCAUUGCCCCCCUCUUUAGCACAACAUCCAAUCAAAUUAACAAGUGUAAAGAUCAAUGGCUGUGAAAAUUAGACAAGUGGACUGAUUUAUUUUGUAUGUCACUGAAAUACAUUUAAAAUAAACAUUUAUACUUAUU
This is a long non-coding RNA of Aethina tumida (small hive beetle), 302 nucleotides long. RefSeq lists it as uncharacterized. NCBI's taxonomy places the organism in Eukaryota, Metazoa, Arthropoda, Insecta, Coleoptera, Nitidulidae. The record is from RefSeq and is a predicted model, not a curated record. The transcript has 2 exons.